AUUAUAAAUAUGUGAAUGUCAUGAAUGUCAAACAGGAAAGUGGGAAUUGCUGAGCUGGCAAUGGUUAAUGAAGAAUGAGAAUGAGAUCGAAUGUGGUCAAGGUACUUUUUGUGCCUGAAUGUAAAUAUGAUAGUGAAACUUGUUCAAAUUGUUUUAGGAAGGGGUGAGGAUGAAUGAGGUAGAAGGAUGAGGUGAGUGUGAUUGGAGUACUUUGUAUUCAUGUAUAGAAAUAUCACAAUGAACCCUACUUUACUGUUGGGAGC
Long non-coding RNA from Perognathus longimembris pacificus (Pacific pocket mouse), 263 nucleotides. RefSeq lists it as uncharacterized. The transcript is spliced from 3 exons. Lineage: Eukaryota; Metazoa; Chordata; Mammalia; Rodentia; Heteromyidae. The record is from RefSeq and is a predicted model, not a curated record.